CAGCAGCCGCGGUAAUACGAAGGGUGCAAGCGUUAAUCGGAAUUACUGGGCGUAAAGCGUGCGUAGGCGGUGAGUUAAGUCUGCUGUGAAAUCCCCGGGCUCAACCUGGGAAUGGCAAUGGAUACUGGCAAGCUAGAGUGUGUCAGAGGAUGGUGGAAUUCCCGGUGUAGCGGUGAAAUGCGUAGAGAUCGGGAGGAACAUCAGUGGCGAAGGCAGCCCCCUGGGCCAAUACUGACGCUCAUGCACGAAAGCGUGGGGAGCAAACAGGAUUAGAUACCCCCGUAGUCCCUGUCUCUUAUAC
This 301-nucleotide ribosomal RNA is filed under the name uncultured bacterium. RNAcentral's name for it is "partial 16S ribosomal RNA". It matches the Rfam family "Bacterial small subunit ribosomal RNA", at positions 509 to 807 of the family's 1533-position model. The record is from RNAcentral.